RNAcentral lists this ribosomal RNA (245 nucleotides) under uncultured bacterium. RNAcentral describes it as "partial 16S ribosomal RNA". It matches the Rfam family "Bacterial small subunit ribosomal RNA", at positions 524 to 768 of the family's 1533-position model. The record is from RNAcentral.
UACGGAGGGUGCGAGCGUUGUUCGGAAUUAUUGGGCGUAAAGAGCGUGUAGGCGGCCUGACAAGUCAGAUGUGAAAGCCCUGGGCUCAACUCAGGAAGUGCAUUUGAAACUGUCGGGCUUGAGUACGGGAGGGGGAAGCGGAAUUCCUGGUGUAGAGGUGAAAUUCGUAGAUAUCAGGAGGAACACCGGUGGCGAAGGCGGCUUCCUGGACCGAUACUGACGCUGAGACGCGAAAGCGUGGGGAG